GUUGGCUAAUUCCUCUUUGUCCCCCUGCUCAGGGAUGGCUCCUGUGUAACGAGUCUCCUCCUCUUCGUCUGAGGAUGAGUAAGGAAGGAUCGGUCCAAUAUGCAGCGUGUUCUGCCCGCCUUCACUCUGGUCCCUGUCUCCAGUCCCACGCAUCCUCAUCCUGCUACUUUGCCCUGGAUUCCCCACUCAACUGCUCCCUUGGAUUCCCCUCUGGACCUGCUUAGCCUCCGCACCUAGAUUCCUACAACCCACCCGAGAUUCCCAUUGCCUGCACUCCAUCUUCUUCCUG
Molecule: long non-coding RNA, 289 nt
Organism: Oncorhynchus tshawytscha (Chinook salmon)
Lineage: Eukaryota; Metazoa; Chordata; Actinopteri; Salmoniformes; Salmonidae
Source: Ensembl